RNAcentral lists this ribosomal RNA (109 nucleotides) under Callipepla squamata (scaled quail). The record is from RNAcentral. Lineage: Eukaryota; Metazoa; Chordata; Aves; Galliformes; Odontophoridae.
GCCUACGGCCAUACCACCCUGGAAACGCCCGAUCUCGGAAGCUAAGCAGGGUCGGGCCUGGUUAGUACUUGGAUGGGAGACCUCCUGGGAAUACCGGGUGCCAUAGGCU